RNAcentral lists this ribosomal RNA (301 nucleotides) under uncultured bacterium. Its description in RNAcentral is "partial 16S ribosomal RNA". It matches the Rfam family "Bacterial small subunit ribosomal RNA", at positions 509 to 807 of the family's 1533-position model. The record is from RNAcentral.
CAGCCGCCACGGUAAUACAGAGGAUGCAAGCGUUAUCCGGAAUUAUUGGGCGUAAAGCGCGCGCAGGUGGUUUAAUAAGUCUGAUGUGAAAGCCCACGGCUCAACCGUGGAGGGUCAUUGGAAACUGUUAAACUUGAGUGCAGGAGAGAAAAGUGGAAUUCCUAGUGUAGCGGUGAAAUGCGUAGAGAUUAGGAGGAACACCAGUGGCGAAGGCGGCUUUUUGGCCUGUAACUGACACUGAGGCGCGAAAGCGUGGGGAGCAAACAGGAUUAGAUACCCGAGUAGUCCCUGUCUCUUAUAC